RNAcentral lists this ribosomal RNA (434 nucleotides) under uncultured bacterium. RNAcentral's name for it is "partial 16S ribosomal RNA". It matches the Rfam family "Bacterial small subunit ribosomal RNA", at positions 29 to 507 of the family's 1533-position model. The record is from RNAcentral.
AGCGAACGCUGGCGGCAGGCCUAACACAUGCAAGUCGAACGAACCUUUCGGGGUUAGUGGCGGACGGGUGUGUAACACGUGGGAACGUGCCCUUAGGUUCGGAAUAACUCAGGGAAACUUGUGCUAAUACCGAAUGUGCCCUUCGGGGGAAAGAUUUAUCGCCUUUAGAGCGGCCCGCGUCUGAUUAGCUAGUUGGUUGAGGUAAUGGCUCACCAAGGCGACGAUCAGUAGCUGGUCUGAGAGGAUGAUCAGCCACAUUGGGACUGAGACACGGCCCAGACUCCUACGGGAGGCAGCAGUGGGGAAUCUUGCGCAAUGGGCGAAAGCCUGACGCAGCCAUGCCGCGUGAAUGAUGAAGGUCUUAGGAUUGUAAAAUUCUUUCACCGGGGACGAUAAUGACGGUACCCGGAGAAGAAGCCCCGGCUAACUUCGUG